This 265-nucleotide ribosomal RNA is filed under the name uncultured Bacillus sp. RNAcentral's name for it is "partial 16S ribosomal RNA". It matches the Rfam family "Bacterial small subunit ribosomal RNA", at positions 1120 to 1382 of the family's 1533-position model. Lineage: Bacteria; Bacillati; Bacillota; Bacilli; Caryophanales; Bacillaceae. The record is from RNAcentral.
AACGCGUGAAGGCCGAGCACUCUAGACGAACUGCCGUUGACAAAACGGAGGAAGGUGGGGAUGACGUCAAAUCAUCAUGCCCCUUAUGUUCUGGGCUACACACGUGCUACAAUGGCCGGUACAGACGGACGCAAAGCCGCGAGGUGGAGCAAAUCCUAAAAAGCCGGUCUCAGUUCGGAUUGCAGGCUGCAAUUCGCCUGCAUGAAGUCGGAAUCGCUAGUAAUCGCAGGUCAGCAUACUGCGGUCGAAUACGUUCCCGGGCCUU